Molecule: signal recognition particle RNA, 263 nt
Filed under: Caldisericota bacterium
Lineage: Bacteria; Pseudomonadati; Caldisericota
Description: signal recognition particle sRNA large type
Rfam family: Bacterial large signal recognition particle RNA
About the family: The signal recognition particle (SRP) is a universally conserved ribonucleoprotein involved in the co-translational targeting of proteins to membranes. Archaeal SRP consists of a 7S RNA and homologues of the eukaryotic SRP19 and SRP54 proteins.
Source: RNAcentral
CCGUGCUAGACGGGGAGUUAGCGGUGCCCUGUACCCGCAAACCGCUACAGCGGGGUCGAAUUCCCACCCCCGGUGCUCUCUUGUGAGGCUGGCCCCUUUAAGUAGUGUUGAAAGCAGGGUCCUGCGCGGCGGAGCCCUGUGAACCCCGCCAGGUCCGGGAGGAAGCAACGGUAAGCAGAAAGCUCCGGGUGCCGCAGGGAAGCCUUGCUGGAGCUGGCUGAAGGGAUACCGCUCGGAAGGGAUCAUCAAAGGUGGGUGCACGG